Molecule: long non-coding RNA, 338 nt
Filed under: Brassica napus (rape)
Lineage: Eukaryota; Viridiplantae; Streptophyta; Magnoliopsida; Brassicales; Brassicaceae
Description: long non-coding RNA (BNAP_LNC020459)
Source: RNAcentral
AGAAGUUGGAUUCAAAAUUGAGCAUUGCACACCAAACUUCGUCGUGAUCCGGAUCAGAGGUAUCGAAAGAAUCUGAAAAGGAAUAUGCUUUGAACCAUUGGAUGGUCACCGGUUUGUUUCAAAGCUUGAUCCAAAACCAUAAACAUGACUUUUGUAACAUUUGAUACGUAAGACUUGAUACGUGAGAAAUCGCAGUCUGACAAAUUCUCAUUUGCAAGGGUUCUUUAUGCUUCUGGUUUGUUUGUAUUCGCAACUACAUCGCAGUCUCGCUGGUUAGUUUUUCUGUCCAUUUUCUGGAAGUUCUUUAUGUUUGUCUCCUUCGUUCCAUUCUGGUGGCU